ACGUAGGUGGCAAGCGUUGUCCGGAAUUACUGGGUGUAAAGGGAGCGCAGGCGGGAUCGUAAGUUGGGAGUGAAAUUCAUGGGCUCAACCCAUGACCUGCUUUCAAAACUGCGAUUCUUGAGUGGUGUAGAGGUAGGCGGAAUUCCCGGUGUAGCGGUGGAAUGCGUAGAUAUCGGGAGGAACACCAGUGGCGAAGGCGGCUUACUGGGCACUAACUGACGCUGAGGCUCGAAAGCAUGGGUAGCAAACAG
This 251-nucleotide ribosomal RNA is filed under the name uncultured bacterium. RNAcentral describes it as "partial 16S ribosomal RNA". It matches the Rfam family "Bacterial small subunit ribosomal RNA", at positions 525 to 775 of the family's 1533-position model. The record is from RNAcentral.